This 833-nucleotide ribosomal RNA is filed under the name uncultured bacterium. RNAcentral's name for it is "bacterial SSU rRNA". It matches the Rfam family "Bacterial small subunit ribosomal RNA", at positions 335 to 1169 of the family's 1533-position model. The record is from RNAcentral.
ACUCCUACGGGNGGCAGCAGUGAGGAAUAUUGGUCAAUGGGCGCAAGCCUGAACCAGCCACGUCGCGUGAAGGAAGACGGCCCUACGGGNUGUAAANUUCUUUUGUAAGGGAAUAAAGUGCAGUACGCGUACUGUUUUGCAUGUACCUUACGAAUAAGGAUCGGCUAACUCCGUGCCAGCAGCCGCGGUAAUACGGAGGAUCCGAGCGUUAUCCGGAUUUAUUGGGUUUAAAGGGUGCGCAGGCGGGAGAUUAAGUCGGCGGUGAAAUUUUGCAGCUCAACUGUAAAAGUGCCUUCGAAACUGGUUUUCUUGAGUGUAGAUGAAGUAGGCGGAAUUUGUGGUGUAGCGGUGAAAUGCAUAGAUAUCACGAGGAACUCCGAUUGCGCAGGCAGCUUACUAAGCUACAACUGACGCUCAGGCACGAAGGCGUGGGGAUCAAACAGGAUUAGAUACCCUGGUAGUCCACGCAGUAAACGAUGAUUACUCGCUGUUUGCGAUAUACAGUAAGCGGCUUAGCGAAAGCGUUAAGUAAUCCACCUGGGGAGUACGUUCGCAAGAAUGAAACUCAAAGGAAUUGACGGGGGCCCGCACAAGCGGAGGAACAUGUGGUUUAAUUCGAUGAUACGCGAGGAACCUUACCCGGGCUUGAAAUGCAUCUGACAGGGGCGGAGACGCCCUCUCCCUUCGGGGCAGAUGUGUAGGUGCUGCAUGGUUGUCGUCAGCUCGUGCCGUGAGGUGUCGGCUUAAGUGCCAUAACGAGCGCAACCCUCAUCAUUAGUUACCAUCAGGUGAAGCUGGGGACUCUAGUGAGACUGCCAUCGUAAGAUGCGAGG